ACCAACUGCGCGGGAGAGCGUGGAUAGCGGGCAACCGCCGGUCCACCACCGAAGGAGCAACCGCCCCGGAAACUCUCAGGUCAGCAGGACCGCGCGGUUGGA
This 102-nucleotide non-coding RNA is filed under the name Sphingopyxis witflariensis. RNAcentral's name for it is "Glycine sequence". It matches the Rfam family "Glycine riboswitch aptamer". From Rfam's summary of the family: This family represents the bacterial glycine riboswitch. Glycine riboswitches usually consist of two metabolite-binding aptamers domains with similar structures in tandem. The aptamers cooperatively bind glycine to regulate the expression of downstream genes. Lineage: Bacteria; Pseudomonadati; Pseudomonadota; Alphaproteobacteria; Sphingomonadales; Sphingopyxidaceae. The record is from Rfam by way of RNAcentral.